AAAAAUGCUUUGAAAAGAAGAGUACAAAUUGAGAAAUUUAAAGAGAGCUUCGUUUGGUGGGAAGAAGUAAGGAAUCGAUUUGGAAGAUGGUCUUUGAGCAAACAAGUGUGAGAAGCAGUUGUCGGGUGAGCCCGUUAUAGCUCCUCAGUAUGUUGGUACUGGUAGAGGCUAUUUGCUGUGAAGCACUAGCGAAAAAAGGUGGUAACACGCAAUCAAAACGCGUCCUUUCU
This 230-nucleotide non-coding RNA is filed under the name Enterococcus saccharolyticus. RNAcentral's name for it is "T-box sequence". It matches the Rfam family "T-box leader". Rfam says of the family: Uncharged tRNA acts as the effector for transcription antitermination of genes in the T-box leader family. T-boxes are found upstream of many aminoacyl-tRNA synthetase genes and some amino acid biosynthetic genes usually in Gram-positive bacteria. The record is from RNAcentral. Lineage: Bacteria; Bacillati; Bacillota; Bacilli; Lactobacillales; Enterococcaceae.